GCUCAAUUGAUCUCUCUAAAGUUUCAACUUCUAAUGACGAAAUCAUUUACAGUUCAAGAUCCAAAUCCAAACUGUUUCUGGUCCAACAUUUGCAUAAUAGUUUUCAAAAGAAUAUUUUCUUUUAACGAAAUGAGAAAAAGACGAACAUCAAUAUGCUAUGGAUUGAUACUGAUGUUGGAUGAUAAAGCUUUCAAGUCCAUACAUUGGCCAAAACUACAUACUGUAUGUGAAAAAGGACACACGUACACAGCGUCUGAGAACUUGAGAAGCACCACAAGAAAAAAAGAAAAAAAAGACGGAAAACAUGGAGAUACUUAGAAGGCAACAAAUGAAAUCAAAUGAAAGAUUCAUGUCUACUAUCUAAAUUGAGACCUAA
Molecule: long non-coding RNA, 376 nt
Organism: Brassica oleracea var. oleracea
Lineage: Eukaryota; Viridiplantae; Streptophyta; Magnoliopsida; Brassicales; Brassicaceae
Exons: 3
Source: RefSeq, a predicted model, not a curated record